UCCAGAACUAGUUUCAGCUGGUCACAUGUGGACACCACCUUGCGGCGCGGCCGCCCCUGACGUCACGCCCAGCUGACGACAAAAGGCCAUUCAUGAUUUUAUACCUCUUUGUCAUGUCAUCUCUCAGUUGACUCUUCCAAGGUAAGGAGUCUCAGCCUUUCUGUCCCUCUAAUAGGGAAGUGUUUCCAUGCUCUGAUCAUCUUUGUUGCCCUUCUCAGUACCUUUUCUAGUUCUCCUAUAUUCUUUUAGAGAUGGAACAGCCAGAACUGCACACAGUAUUCAAGAUGUUGGCACACCACAGUUGCAUAUAAUGGCAUAGUAAAGUCUUUUGUUUUCAGUUCCUUUCCAUAGCAUUCCUGAUAUUUUAUUUGCCUUUUGGACAACUAUUGCUCAUUGAACCAGUGUCUUUGAACCUUAGCGACUCCAUUGAACCACAAUGACUUCAAGAUCUCUUUCUUGAGAAGUAAUGGCCCACCACUGUGUAUGUAUUGUUGGGAUUAUUUUUUCUUAUGUGCAUUAUUUUGCACGUAUCAGUGAUAAACGUCAUCUGUCAGCUUGCUUGGUUUUGUGAGAGCUUUCUCAGCUCAUCCCCACCAGCUUUUGAUUUGUCUAUGUGGGAUAAUUUUGUAUCAUCUGCAGAUUUAGCCACUUCACUACCUACUUCUUUUUCCAGAUCAUUUCUGCGUAUGUUGAACAGGUCCCAGCGCAGAUCCCUCUGGGCCCCCCACUCCAUUAUGAAAAAUAAACAUUUAAUCCUACUCUCAAAGACAUCCUCAAAGAAUUCCAACAGAUGCCAUCAGCCUCUCUCCAUCCUCACCCACCCUGCCUCAUCUUUGUGCUGCUUUCUCUUGGACUGGGGCCCCAGCCCACGCUGGUUGGUGAUGCACAUUCUUUCCCCUCCCCAUGAUGUUCUCCUCCAGCCUUUUCUUGCAUGGAUGCAGUACCGUCUCAAGGCCAAAAUGACCCCUAUGGCCUUCCACGCUGCUGGCAGCCCAUACCUCCCCACUGCUUAGGACCCUCACACCAACAUAACCAAAAAGCCAUUGAGGAGAAAGCAAGUACGGUAACAGCAAUCAUUUCCCCCUCCCAGGAAGAGGGGAAUGCAGGGGCCAAACCACCUCUUCUGAUGAGUUGCUCAAGAAGACAGCAGAUCUGGUGUCAUGUCAAAGGAAUGGGCUUGUGGUGGGGAACAAAGCCAUUUUUCCACCAUCUACUCUGGAAGGAUGGUGCAGGGAGAAUUGAGCAGCCAUGGGUUUUAUGAGCUGCUUCAGAAUCAGAGAUCUCCAAGAGAUUCCUGCGGUUAACUCUGACAUUGCUGGUGGUUUCUUGGAUGACUGUCUGGGAGUCCAUUCAGCAAACAUGUGAAGGGCAGAAGUCCGUGGGAAGAAUGGGGAGGAUUAUUUAGGGUGGCCACAGCGUGAUGGCCUGGCCUUAAACAAAGGAAUGUCAUUAAACUAGACAAGGGAAACUUCCUGACAGCCAGAGGGGUGAGGUGGAAAGACCCAUUGCUGGAGAUGCUUAAAAUAAGGCUGGACAAAGCCUUCAAGGGACAAACUUCAAAAGUUCAACAAAAGUAAGGCAAUUCCUAGGCAAGUGGAUUCUGUUAAUCUCAAGACAGUUUUGGCUCAAGAGCAUUUUGUAUGUAUGGUCAGGAACUGCGAUGUCACAAGCCUAUCAUGAGUACCUCAAUGACAGGGCUGGCUCUCGAGACAGGAGCUGCUAUUUUCACUCACCUCUCAGGACUUUGCAGUGUGAAGAUGGGUGGUAUCAGGAGCCUGGAAGAUUUCAUACUGGAUCUGCCCAAGGUACUAAGAAUCCCAAGGUCAACAGCAUCCUUUUGGUCUUCUCUUACCUCUCCCCUCUGUUCCUACCCCUCCUCGGUUCUCUCCUGUUCAACCCCCGCCCACUCCCCAUUGUUCUUUUGGGUGGAGACCAGAGUGCGGAAAGGUGACUAGGGAGCAGAGAGCUAAUUUGUGGGUAUCGUUUUCUAACUGCCUGUUAGGCUUGCCCCUUCUGAGCACUUUGAGAAGGGAUGCAGGGAGACAUCACAUCCUCCUUCAGCUCAGAGACAGAAGUGGAGCUGUAUGUUUGCAAAAAAGAAAAGCAGCCUCAUGCUGAGGGAGCAGGGCAGGGACAUAAACCCAGGUGCAUUUCUUCAGCUGUUUGCAUAUGGCAUCUUUAUCUCAAAACUCACACAAAAGACAAUCCACUGCAUGCAGACUCAGAUUUUAAGAUAUCCUAUAAGAGCAUGGCCCUCACCCAACAAGGGAAUAAUCCUGCCAGAGAGUAGGGGUACCUCUUCAUGAGUAUGGCACUGACUCUACAAGAAGGUGAUUUCCCCGCUGCCCUUUGUUUAUAGCUGGACUGCUGAAAACAGGUUGUGGUGUGGAUAGUAAUUAAUUUCCCCUAGUGCUCUGUCAGAGCCCAAGCCGGAUCAUUUGGAAGUUGGAAGACCUCUUAAUUUAGGCAGGACUGCAGUAGGGUGGGGUUGCAUUCUGGGCUAUUGUCUUGGGAGUUUUUUUUCAAUUAUGUAUUAUUUUACUUUAACAUUUUUAUUUGUCUUCAUACUGUAUCUGGUUUUUAUUGUAAGCUGUCCUGAGCCUCUUUUGGGGAAGGGAGUGUGCACAUCUAAUAAAUAAUAUUAAUUUGGAGGCCA
This is a long non-coding RNA of Alligator mississippiensis (American alligator), 2656 nucleotides long. RefSeq lists it as uncharacterized. Lineage: Eukaryota; Metazoa; Chordata; Crocodylia; Alligatoridae. The transcript has 2 exons. The record is from RefSeq and is a predicted model, not a curated record.